Molecule: long non-coding RNA, 213 nt
Filed under: Ictidomys tridecemlineatus (thirteen-lined ground squirrel)
Lineage: Eukaryota; Metazoa; Chordata; Mammalia; Rodentia; Sciuridae
Description: lncRNA (ENSSTOG00000032603.1)
Source: RNAcentral
GUUAUUUCAAUGGGCACCAGAGCACCAUUUCCUGCAGCCCACAGGGAAGACAGAAUAAUUGGUUGGCAGCAAGAGCUUAGUGUGGAAAUUCAGGGGAGCCUAAGGAUUCCUCAGGAAGGACUCCUCUGGCACUAGCGCUUCAUUGUCUGCUCCACUGGGAAGUAAUCAGCUUCCAGAAAGUUUGAGAGAUUGCAUUUCAGCAAGAGGGCCUCC